This 321-nucleotide ribosomal RNA is filed under the name Triticum aestivum (bread wheat). Its description in RNAcentral is "partial small subunit ribosomal RNA". The record is from RNAcentral. Lineage: Eukaryota; Viridiplantae; Streptophyta; Magnoliopsida; Poales; Poaceae.
AUGGGCAGAAGCAAAAAUCCAUUUAUCAGUGAUCAAGAAUGUGUUGUGGUAGUGAAGUAUAUUGUGGUCAUUUGUGUUGUGGUAGAGACACUUUCUUUUAUUAGGUUCAAGACGUACGGGCAGAAGCACGAAUCACAGAUACAUAAACUUAUGAUUAUUUGCGUUGUGGUAGAGACACUUUCUUUUAAUAGGGUCAUUCACAAUAUUUCUAUGUUUUGUAGUGAAGUAUAUUAUGCCAAUGAGAUAUUGUAUGCAUACCUUCCUUUUGAGAUGUUUUUAAGAGGGAAAGUUAUUACUAACCUACUCCUUGAAUUAAAUUAA